Molecule: ribosomal RNA, 253 nt
Filed under: uncultured bacterium
Lineage: Bacteria
Description: partial 16S ribosomal RNA
Rfam family: Bacterial small subunit ribosomal RNA
Source: RNAcentral
UACGGAGGGUGCAAGCGUUAUCCGGAUUCACUGGGUUUAAAGGGAGCGCAGGCGGAUUUGUAAGUCAGUGGUGAAAGGCUUAAGCUUAACUUGGGAACUGCCAUUGAUACUAUAAGUCUUGAAUGUUGUUGAGGUUUGCGGAAUGGGUCAUGUAGCGGUGAAAUGCAUAGAUAUGACCCGGAACACCUAUUGCGAAGGCAGCAGGCUAAACAAAUAUUGACGCUGAGGCUCGAAAGCGUGGGGAGCGAACGGG